GGAUAUUUGACCAUGGGGGCAACCCUGAUCCAGCCAUGCCGCGUGUGUGAAGAAGGCCUGUUUGUUGUACAGCACUUUAAGCAGUGAAGAAGACACCAUGGUUAAUACCCAUGGACGAUGACAUUAGCUGCAUAAUAAGCAACGUAUUACUCCGUGCUAGCAGCCGCGGUAGUACAGAGGGUGCAAGCGUUAAUCGGAAUUACUGGGCGUAAAGCGAGCGUAGGUGGCUUGAUAAGUCAGAUGUGAAAUCCCCGGGCUUAACCGGGGAACUGCAUCGGAUACUGUUAGGCUAGAAUAGGUGAGAGGAAGGUAGAAUUCCGGGUGUAGCGGUGAAAUGCGUAGAGAUCUGGAGGAAUACCGAUGGCGAAGGCAGCCUUCUGGCAUCAUAUUGACACUGAGGUUCGAAAGCGUGGGUAGCAAAC
This 422-nucleotide ribosomal RNA is filed under the name uncultured bacterium. RNAcentral describes it as "partial 16S ribosomal RNA". It matches the Rfam family "Bacterial small subunit ribosomal RNA", at positions 359 to 773 of the family's 1533-position model. The record is from RNAcentral.